AGACAGUGCCUUGUUGAUUCUGGAGAAAAUCAGCGACAGGAAUCUCAUUAACUGCACCAACGCUGCUCUGCAGACGCCCUUGCAUGUAGCAGCCAGGAAGGGAUUGACAGUGGUGGUCCAGGAGCUGCUGGUGAAAGAGCCAGUGUGUUAGCUGUGGAUGAGAAUGGUUACACUCCAGCUUUGGCUUGUGCUCCCAAUCGGGAUGUAGCUGACUGCUUGGCCCUCAUCCUCAACUCAAUGAUGCCCACCUCACCCAUGGUCACAUAGCAGCUUUGCCCACUCUCU
Oreochromis niloticus (Nile tilapia) is the source of this 285-nucleotide long non-coding RNA. RefSeq lists it as uncharacterized. The transcript has 3 exons. The record is from RefSeq and is a predicted model, not a curated record. NCBI's taxonomy places the organism in Eukaryota, Metazoa, Chordata, Actinopteri, Cichliformes, Cichlidae.